GUAACUUUGAAUUAUUUGAGGACCAGGACCUUGUAUCCUGCCUUUGACACUUAUGUUGAUAUUGAGGAAGCCACUUAAUUCUAAAAAGAACAUGCUAAUGGUGCUUAACCUCUGGGGGAAGGGUUGAGAAAUAAAUGAGCUAGUCACUAAAGUUUUUAGCAGUAUGCUUGGCACAAAGCAAUCUCUGGAGCUGGUGUGUUUUACUGAGCAUUUACUGAGUGCCCACAGUGGGAACAUCAGACAAAAAAAUAAACAAGAUCCAAAAAGUAAGGAUGUGUUUCAUGUGACCCCUGAGUCCUAAGGAUAAACAAGGAUAGGUAUUCAGGAGUGUUGGGGGAUGAGGGGAUUUUAGUUUUGCAUAGGUUUAAAGUGAGUCAGGGAAAGACCUCACAGUAAGUGACAUUUUAGCCAUGGCCUAAGGAAGUAAGGGAGGUCCUCUUCAGGGAAAGCAGCAUUCCAGGGGUAAGGAACCACAGAUGCAAACCUUCUGGGGCAGGAGUGGUUUGAGCAAGUCCAAGGUAUAAGCAGGAAACCUCAAGCUAAACUAGAAUGAAGGAGGUAAAGGCAGCAUAGUGGACGAAGGCACCUUACAUUUAUGUGCAAGUUCUUGUUUGAAGACCUGUUUUCAGUCCUGAUAUGUUUUUCUUUAAUCACAUUUGAAUAACACUGUUUCUUGAGGGCAGUAGCCAUGCCAUAUUAGUUUUGGUACAGGGGG
RNAcentral lists this long non-coding RNA (715 nucleotides) under Marmota monax (woodchuck). Lineage: Eukaryota; Metazoa; Chordata; Mammalia; Rodentia; Sciuridae. The record is from RNAcentral.